UUAACAGGAAAAACUUUAAAAACAUUUACUGAGGUGGUCCGUUCUAUAAACCGUUUAAGAAGGACUCCUGCAGACAGCUGCGCAGUGAGGGGAUUUGUGAGGGAUCUGAAAGCUGCGGAGGUUGGGGGCUGCGGCUGCGCGUCGGCUCAGGGCAGCACACAGGUGUGAGCGCGCCUGAGUGCAGUUCCCUGCAGCUUCUCCCCUCGGUCAUUACUAUAAAUGACAGUGUGCACUUAGUCAAGCAGCCUGGUUAAAUAAGGAUUAGAAGGAUGGGGAGAAAAUAACUUCACACUUUUGAGAGCAGCAAAUGGUGUUUGCAAAGAACGCAGCUGAAAGCGGAGAGAGGCAGGGGAGAGCUGGGCUCUGCCUGCAAGUAACCCGACGCACGCCGCCUUCCCUCGUUUUGUUUUCCUCUUCCGCAUCUGAACCAGACCUGCAGACACCUUCGCCGAAGCGCUGGAACAAAGACGAAGGAGGGCAUGAAGGAUCGCAUGUGGAAAAUAUUUCUGUUAAAGCCCAUCUCUGAGACAAACAUGAGCCCUGCUGCUCCCUCUCCACCCUUCACCACCACCCUCCCUCCCUCAUGCUUCUCGUUUGGUUGGAGCAUCAAACGACCCUGCCGUCUGAAAAUAGCGCGUCGACAUUUCUGUUUCGUCUUGUCGUUUCCUUUUUUCCUCCUUUUUAUUCUCGACAAUGUUGCCAGUUUGCUAGACUCCUGUUUCUUCUCAUGCCUCCUGCCUUCUUGAUCUGUGAGAGGUUACAGCGCAGAGUGCCUCAGAAGUGCGCGUGUGUGUGCGAGUGCAAGUGUGUGUGGCGUAGGAGAGCUUUGGUGGUCUAUAAAAAGCAGCCAGACAAAGUCUUCCCCCUCUCUUCAUGCAUUAUGCAUCGGCAUCACCUUCCAUCAAUUGGCAGAAAAACCUCAAAGAUGUCUAACUUUAGCUUCCACUCUGAAAGCCAAACAGAGGAGAAGAUGUGGUAUUUUGACUGCCACAGUCGAGCUAAGCACCUGUUACAUCAAUAAAAGCUGCGUUUCGCAACAAGACGGCGGCAACAUGUGCGAUGGAAGAUGAAGAAAAAGAAGCACUUAAAUGCGGAGAGUGGAGAAAGGGAGCAACAACAAACCUGAGCUGGAUGAAAGAUAAAAUAAAAAAAAACAAGCAUGUUUUCAGAGUUUCAGCUUCACCGCCAGCCUGGCUGCUGGUUCCAGGUCAAUAUGACAGGUCAGCAUGGGACUAUGUAAAGGGAGGUUCAGGUGGCAGCGGUGGCACUAAGCCAUGUGCACCGUCAUUCACCGCACGUCCGCCUUCCAGGAGCAGCAGGCAGCACCCAGGGGCGACCCAAACAGCCCCACCCGCAGCUCUGUGGGGCUGCAGUAAACAAGCGCUCCCCUCUCAGCAGAAAGGCUGUGAUGGUCUGCUCUGCUCCAGGACUGUGAACGUGUUUAUUUGUUUAUUUACCUUUCUGGCUGCCUCCACUCUGAUGAUCUCCUGAUGGAAGCCGUGGAAAUUCAGCAAUCCGCUUCAAUAAAAAUUACUAAUUUUU
This is a long non-coding RNA of Poecilia latipinna (sailfin molly), 1542 nucleotides long. RefSeq lists it as uncharacterized. Lineage: Eukaryota; Metazoa; Chordata; Actinopteri; Cyprinodontiformes; Poeciliidae. The record is from RefSeq and is a predicted model, not a curated record. The transcript is spliced from 2 exons.